Molecule: non-coding RNA, 70 nt
Organism: Phrynosoma platyrhinos (Desert horned lizard)
Lineage: Eukaryota; Metazoa; Chordata; Lepidosauria; Squamata; Phrynosomatidae
Source: the annotation of a GenBank genome assembly
GGCGCAGGUGUAGUGGUUUGAGUGUUGGGCUAUUACUCUGGAGACCAGGGUUCAAAUCCCUGCUCGGUCA